RNAcentral lists this ribosomal RNA (278 nucleotides) under uncultured bacterium. RNAcentral describes it as "partial 16S ribosomal RNA". It matches the Rfam family "Bacterial small subunit ribosomal RNA", at positions 464 to 741 of the family's 1533-position model. The record is from RNAcentral.
UGCUCUUGACGGUACCUGAAGAAUAAGCACCGGCUAACUACGUGCCAGCAGCCGCGGUAAUACGUAGGGUGCAAGCGUUAAUCGGAAUUACUGGGCGUAAAGCGUGCGCAGGCGGUUUUGUAAGUUUGGCGUGAAAUCCCCGGGCUCAACCUGGGAAUGGCGAUGGAGACUGCAAGGCUAGAGUCUGGCAGAGGGGGGUAGAAUUCCACGUGUAGCAGUGAAAUGCGUAGAGAUGUGGAGGAACACCGAUGGCGAAGGCAGCCCCCUGGGACGUGACU